UGACGAGUGGCGGACGGGUGAGUAAUGCUUGGGAACUUGCCUUUGCGAGGGGGAUAACAGUUGGAAACGACUGCUAAUACCGCAUAAUGUCUUCGGACCAAACGGGGCUUCGGCUCCGGCGCAAAGAGAGGCCCAAGUGAGAUUAGCUAGUUGGUAAGGUAACGGCUUACCAAGGCGACGAUCUCUAGCUGUUCUGAGAGGAAGAUCAGCCACACUGGGACUGAGACACGGCCCAGACUCCUACGGGAGGCAGCAGUGGGGAAUAUUGCACAAUGGGGGAAACCCUGAUGCAGCGAUGCCGCGUGUGUGAAGAAGGCCUUCGGGUUGUAAAGCACUUUCAGUUGUGAGGAAAAGUUAGUAGUUAAUACCUGCUAGCCGUGACGUUAACAACAUAAGAAGCACCGGCUAACUCCGUGCCAGCAGCCGCGGUAAUACGGAGGGUGCGAGGGUUAAUCGGAAUUACUGGGCGUAAAGCGCAGGCACGCGGUUUGUUAAGCUAGAUGUGAAAGCCCCGGGCUCAACCUGGGAUGGUCAUUUACAACUGGCAGACUACAGUCUUGGAGAGGGGAGUG
This 572-nucleotide ribosomal RNA is filed under the name uncultured bacterium. RNAcentral's name for it is "bacterial SSU rRNA". It matches the Rfam family "Bacterial small subunit ribosomal RNA", at positions 89 to 663 of the family's 1533-position model. The record is from RNAcentral.